AUGAACGCUGGCGGCUGCCUAAUACAUGCAAGUCGAACGGAGUGGCGAAAGGGUGAGUAACGCGUGAGCAACCUGCCUAUGACAGUGGGAUAGCCUCGGGAAACCGGGAUUAAUACCGCAUAGUCAUAGAUGGGCUCGCGUUUGAUUAGCUAGUUGGUGAGAUAACAGCCCACCAAGGCCACGAGCAGUAGCCGGUCUGAGGUGAUGAACGGCCACAUUGGAACUGCGACACGGGCCAAACUCCGACGUGAGGCAGCAGUGGGGAAUAUUGCACAAUGGGGGAAACCCUGAUGCAGCGACGCCGCGUGAACGAAGACGGUAUUCGUAUCGUAAAGUUCUGUCCUAUGGUAAGCAGUACCAUAUAAGAAAGCUCCGGCUAAAUACGUGCCAGCAGCCGCGGUAAUUC
RNAcentral lists this ribosomal RNA (406 nucleotides) under uncultured bacterium. RNAcentral's name for it is "partial 16S ribosomal RNA". It matches the Rfam family "Bacterial small subunit ribosomal RNA", at positions 29 to 526 of the family's 1533-position model. The record is from RNAcentral.